RNAcentral lists this ribosomal RNA (498 nucleotides) under uncultured bacterium. Its description in RNAcentral is "partial 16S ribosomal RNA". It matches the Rfam family "Bacterial small subunit ribosomal RNA", at positions 29 to 523 of the family's 1533-position model. The record is from RNAcentral.
AGUGAACGCUGGCGGUAGGCCUAACACAUGCAAGUCGAACGGUAACAGGUCUUCGGAUGCUGACGAGUGGCGAACGGGUGAGUAAUACAUCGGAACGUGCCUAGUAGUGGGGGAUAACUACUCGAAAGAGUGGCUAAUACCGCAUGAGAUCUACGGAUGAAAGCAGGGGAUCGCAAGACCUUGUGCUACUAGAGCGGCCGAUGGCGGAUUAGGUAGUUGGUGGGAUAAAAGCUUACCAAGCCGACGAUCUGUCGCUGGUCUGAGAGGACGAUCAGCCACACUGGGACUGAGACACGGCCCAGACUCCUACGGGAGGCAGCAGUGGGGAAUUUUGGACAAUGGGCGCAAGCCUGAUCCAGCAAUGCCGCGUGCAGGAGGAAGGCCUUCGGGUUGUAAACUGCUUUUGUACGGAACGAAAAGCCCCGGGUUAAUACCCUGGGGUCAUGACGGUACCGUAAGAAUAAGCACCGGCUAACUACGUGCCAGCCGCCGCGGUAA